Molecule: ribosomal RNA, 931 nt
Filed under: uncultured Myxococcales bacterium
Lineage: Bacteria; Pseudomonadati; Myxococcota; Myxococcia; Myxococcales
Description: SSU rRNA
Rfam family: Bacterial small subunit ribosomal RNA
Source: RNAcentral
AGAGUUUGAUCCUGGCUCAGAACGAACGCUGGCGGCGUGCCUAACACAUGCAAGUCGAGCGAGAAAGCCCGCAAGGGUGAGUAAAGCGGCGCACGGGUGAGUAACACGUGGGUAAUCUGCCCUAGAGUCCGGAAUAACUCGCCGAAAGGCGUGCUAAUGCCGGAUGAGACCACGGGAGCCUCGGCUCUCGCGGGAAAAGGUGGCCUCUGUACACAAGCUAUCGCUCUAGGAUGAGCCCGCGGCCCAUCAGCUCGUUGGCGGGGUAAUGGCCCACCAAGGCUACGACGGGUAGCUGGUCUGAGAGGACGAUCAGCCACACUGGAACUGAGACACGGUCCAGACUCCUACGGGAGGCAGCAGUGGGGAAUCUUGCGCAAUGGGCGAAAGCCUGACGCAGCAACGCCGCGUGUGUGAUGAAGGUCUUCGGAUCGUAAAGCACUGUCGCGAGGGACGAAUAAGGGGCGGGCGAACAUCCCGUUCCGAUGACGGUACCUCGAGAGGAAGCACCGGCUAACUCUGUGCCAGCAGCCGCGGUAAUACAGAGGGUGCGAGCGUUGUUCGGAAUUAUUGGGCGUAAAGCGCGUGUAGGCGGCCUUGCAAGUUGGGUGUGAAAGCCCUCGGCUUAACCGAGGAAGUGCGCCCAAAACUACGAGGCUUGAGUGCCGGAGAGGGUGGCGGAAUUCCCGGUGUAGAGGUGAAAUUCGUAGAUAUCGGGAGGAACACCAGUGGCGAAGGCGGCCACCUGGACGGUAACUGACGCUGAGACGCGAAAGCGUGGGGAGCAAACAGGAUUAGAUACCCUGGUAGUCCACGCUGUAAACGAUGAGCGCUAGGUGUUGUGGGUGUUGACCCCCGCAGUGCCGCAGCUAACGCAUUAAGCGCUCCGCCUGGGAAGUACGGCCGCAAGGCUAAAACUCAAAGGAAUUGACGG